Molecule: ribosomal RNA, 465 nt
Filed under: uncultured bacterium
Lineage: Bacteria
Description: partial 16S ribosomal RNA
Rfam family: Bacterial small subunit ribosomal RNA
Source: RNAcentral
GACGAACGCUGGCGGCGUGCUUAACACAUGCAAGUCGUACGGUAAGGCCCUUUCGGGGGUACACGAGUGGUGAACGGGUGCGUAACACGUGAGUAACCUGCCCACAACUUUGGGAUAACGCUAGGAAACUGGUGCUAAUACUGGAUAUGUGCUCCUGCUGCAUGGUGGGGGUUGGAAAGCUCCGGCGGUUGUGGAUGGACUCGCGGCCUAUCGGCUUGUUGGUGGGGUAGUGGCCUACCAAGGCGGCGAGGGGUAGCCGGCCUGAGAGGGUGACCGGCGACAUUGGGACUGAGAGACGGCCCAGACUCCUACGGGAGGCAGCAGUGGGGAAUAUUGCACAAUGGGCGCCAGCCUGAUGCAGCAAGGCCGCGUGCGGGAUAACGGCCUUCGGGUUGAAGAACGCUUUCAGCAGGGACGAAGCUUUUUGUGACGGUACCUGCAGAAGAAGCACCGGCUAACUACGUG